This 480-nucleotide ribosomal RNA is filed under the name uncultured bacterium. RNAcentral describes it as "bacterial SSU rRNA". It matches the Rfam family "Bacterial small subunit ribosomal RNA", at positions 24 to 518 of the family's 1533-position model. The record is from RNAcentral.
UCAGGACGAACGCUGGCGGCGUGCCUAACACAUGCAAGUCGAACGGAGAAGGGUUUCGAUUCUUACUUAGUGGCGAACGGGUGAGUAACGCGUGAACAACCUGCCUUCCUGAGGGGGAUAACACCUGGAAACAAGUGCUAAUACCGCAUAAGACCACAUAUCCGCAUGGAUGAGGGGUCAAAGGAGCAAUCCGCAGGGAGAGGGGUUCGCGUCCCAUUAGCUAGUUGGCGGGGCAACGGCCCACCAAGGCGACGAUGGGUAGCCGAGCUGAGAGGCUGAUCGGCCACACUGGAACUGAGACACGGUCCAGACUCCUACGGGAGGCAGCAGUGGGGAAUAUUGGGCAAUGGGCGCAAGCCUGACCCAAGCAACGCCGCGUGAGGGAAGAAGGUCUUCGGAUUGUAAACCUCUGUCCUAUGUGACGAAGGAAGUGACGGUAGCAUAGGAGGAAGCCCCGGCUAACUACGUGCCAGCCGCAGC